UUGUUGGUAAGGUAAAAGCUUACCAAGGCUUCGAUCAGUAGCUGGUCUGAGAGGACGACCAGCCACACUGGGACUGAGACACGGCCCAGACUCCUACGGGAGGCAGCAGUGGGGAAUUUUGGACAAUGGGGGCAACCCUGAUCCAGCCAUGCCGCGUGAGUGAAGAAGGCCUUCGGGUUGUAAAGCUCUUUCAGCCGGAACGAAACGGUUACGGAUAACACCCGUGACUACUGACGGUACCGGAAGAAGAAGCACCGGCUAACUACGUGCCAGCAGCCGCGGUAAUACGUAGGGUGCGAGCGUUAAUUGGAAUUACUGGGCGUAAAGCGUGCGCAGGUGGUUUUGUAAGUCAGAUGUGAAAGCCCCGGGCUCAACCUGGGAACUGCGUUUGAAACUACAAGACUAGAGUGUGGCAGAGGGGGGGUGGAAUUCCGCGUGUAGCAGUGAAAUGCGUAGAGAUGUGGAGGAACACCGAUGGCGAAGGCAGCCCCCUGGGCCAACACUGACGCUCAGGCACGAAAGCAUGGGGAGCAAACAGGGUUAGAUACCCUGGUAGUCCAUGCCCUAAACGAUGUCAACUAGUUGUCGGGCCUUUACGGGCUUGGUAACGUAGCUAACGCGUGAAGUUGACCGCCUGGGGAGUACGAUCGCAAGAUUAAAACUCAAAUGAAUUGACGGGGACCCGCACAAGCGGUGGAUUAUGUGGAUUAAUUCGAUGCAACGCGAAAAACCUUACCUACCCUUGACAUGUAUCGAAGCCCGCAGAAAAGCGGGGGUGCCCGAAAGGGAACGAUAACACAGGUGCUGCAUGGCUGUCGUCAGCUCGUGUCGUGAGAUGUUGGGUUAAGUCCCGCAACGAGCGCAACCCUUGUCAUUAAUUGCCAUCAUUUAGUUGGGCACUUUAAUGAGACUGCCGG
This 917-nucleotide ribosomal RNA is filed under the name uncultured bacterium. RNAcentral describes it as "bacterial SSU rRNA". It matches the Rfam family "Bacterial small subunit ribosomal RNA", at positions 246 to 1155 of the family's 1533-position model. The record is from RNAcentral.